GAUGAACGCUGGCGGCGUGCCUAAUACAUGCAAGUCGAGCGAACAGACGAGGAGCUUGCUCCUUUGACGUUAGCGGCGGACGGGUGAGUAACACGUGGGUAACCUACCUAUAAGACUGGGAUAACUUCGGGAAACCGGAGCUAAUACCGGAUAAUAUUUCGAACCGCAUGGUUCGAUAGUGAAAGAUGGCUUUGCUAUCACUUAUAGAUGGACCUGCGCCGUAUUAGCUAGUUGGUAAGGUAACGGCUUACCGAGGCAACGAUACAUAGCCGACCUGAGAGGGUGAUCGGCCACACUGGAACUGAGACACGGUCCAGACUCCUACGGGAGGCAGCAGUAGGGAAUCUUCCGCAAUGGGCGAAAGCCUGACGGAGCAACGCCGCGUGAGUGAUGAAGGUCUUCGGAUCGUAAAACUCUGUUAUUAGGGAAGAACAAACGUGUAAGUAACUGUGCACGUCUUGACGGUACCUAAUCAGAAAGCCACGGCUAACUACGUG
Molecule: ribosomal RNA, 497 nt
Filed under: uncultured bacterium
Lineage: Bacteria
Description: partial 16S ribosomal RNA
Rfam family: Bacterial small subunit ribosomal RNA
Source: RNAcentral